Molecule: ribosomal RNA, 513 nt
Filed under: uncultured archaeon
Lineage: Archaea
Description: bacterial SSU rRNA
Rfam family: Archaeal small subunit ribosomal RNA
Source: RNAcentral
AAUCUUUGCAAUGUGCGAAAGCACGACAAGGUUAAUCCGAGUGAUUUCUGCUAAAGAAAUCUUUUGCAAGUCAUAAAACCACUAGUGAAUAAGGGGUGGGCAAGUUCUGGUGUCAGCCGCCGCGGUAAAACCAGCACCUCAAGUGGUCAGGAGGGUUAUUGGGCCUAAAGCAUCCGUAGCCGGCUCUGUAAGUUUUCGGUUAAAUCCAUGUGCUCAACGCAUGGGCUGCCGAAAAUACUGCAUAGCUAGGGAGUGGGAGAGGUAGACGGUACUCGGUAGGAAGGGGUAAAAUCCUUUGAUCUAUCGAUGACCACCUGUGGCGAAGGCGGUCUACCAGAACACGUUCGACGGUGAGGGAUGAAAGCUGGGGGAGCAAACCGGAUUAGAUACCCGGGUAGUCCCAGCUGUAAACGAUGCAGACUCGAUGAUGCAUUGGCAUAUAGCCAGUGCAGUGUCGCAGGGAAGCCGUUAAGUCUGCCGCCUGGGAAGUACGUACGCAAGUAUGAAACUUAA